GAGUCAACGUGGAAAACGUCAACAGUUUAGUUCGUGCAACGCAUCCUCGCGUUCACCAGCUUCUCAAACCCGCGUUUAGUUUAUUUUGGCGAUCGCCUCAGCGAAGCGGAUCGGAUGAGGUCGUGCAACCUUCAUUAUAGUUCUGGUUUUGUUGGUCAUCCCGCGGGAAACGGUGAGACACCGCCGGGUCCAGACUGAGAGGACGAGGACAGGUCACACACCUGGCGUGCGCGACGCGGGCACGUUUCUUCUUCAUCUCUUCACUGACCAGGGAGCUGCAGGCUUCAGAUGUCGAAGAUGCCAGGAAGGUUCAGCAAGUUCCCACACGUAUAGUAAACCGCAGCAGGAAAUAUCCGAGAUUCGGUAAAAUGAAACGCUUUCUCUGAUCGCACCUUCCCGGACAAGCAAACCCGUCUUUCCACAUUGUGUUCCAGGGCCUUUAACGAGGCUGCCAAAAAGUAAAUUAAAGACAGAGCCAUGGGACGCACCAUUAAACGGCGUUCAUGACACGACAGAAGCAGCCCAGCCUGUUUGAAGGUUGAUGGUGUAGAAGAGAGAACCGCAGCUGAACGCAUUAACCCAACGCCUCACCUGAGUCAGCGCAAACACCGAUCAUUUAGUGUUUCCAGCAGUGGCUGUUAUCUGUUACUUCAUCGCUCAAACGAACAAGUUUUUAUGCUGCAUGUUGGUUAUAUUUCCAGACGAGCAUUAAGCAGGGCGAUGCCAUUCAUGUAAAGGGGGGAACGUUACAGAUCACAGACGGAAAGCAGGAAGAGAUCAGAAAAACCAGAUUCCCACACAAACAAAUUUUUACCUGUUAGAAUAUUAUCUGACAAUUUGGUGCGCAAAUUGUCUUGUCAUCAAAAAACUUGAUGUUUUACCUGCAGAAAACAUCAAGGGUUUUUACAUUUAAAUGACUUUAUAUGUACAAAUAAUGCGUCAGGUUGAACACGUCACAAACAAAUUGGAGCAAGAUGUUUGGAGCGGAAUAAAAAGUGGCAUAAUUAGGUUGACUGCUGAGAUGCAGGUUUAUCUUUAUGUACCAAUUUCUUUCAUUAAGGACAAAUUGGAAAGAGUCCAAAUGUUUUUCCAAAAGUCAGAAGCUUGUUAUUAAUCUAGUUUUUCUUUUUAAGACGUCGUUGCUGGGGAUGAAAGAAAGUGAUUUAAUAUUGUAAUGUCUUCUGAGCCUGCCAGAUCUGCAACUAGAGAUAAUCAAAUCAAACAGCAACUAUUUACGUGUUUUGUUCUCAGUAUUUGUUUCACGCAGGAAGACCGCUGUAGGGCUCCGGCCUCCUACUCCACUUCCAAUCAUCAGCUUCUGUCUAAAUGACCACCAGUACCAAACAUGGCAACGUUUUAUGAGUCAGUGUUCACAUAAAACCACCACAAUGUCUUUGAGAUCAGAGUUGGUUUUGUUUUAGUCACGUUUCCUCUCAGCAGAAAGAAUCAACUUACAGAGGAUUCAUAAUAAAUGAAGACGUCAAGCUAGGUUUAUGCUACAAAUCAUAACCAUUUAACAAAAACUCACUUCAAAAAUUCAGAACAGAAGGGGCUUUCAAUGCUUUUCCAGUGACAUGAUUUUCUUUUUUUCAUUCCUGGUCAUGUAAGUAAGUUUGCCUUUUUAUAAACAUUUACCUCAUUCUCAAAUCUCUCUGAGAUAUCAUGCUGUAUUAAUGUCUGUCUUAACAGUAUGCCAGUCCACUUAUGUGCUCAAACAGGAACUAAACUCAGACGUAUUUAGUUAAAAUUAGUAGUGACUGGCAAGAAGGUUGUUGUUUUUCCCCUAACAAAAGGUUAAUAUGCAAACUCCACCAGAUCACACUAACAGAUAAACAGUGAUGAGGUUAUAGUGGGAUGCAAAACGACAGAGAUAAGGAGACGCAUCUCUUGACAAACAGGGUCAAGAGGUUGCAUCUCCUCCCCAUUCCUCCCCUGACUUCUCCCACCGACUUCUCAAAUCACGUCAGACCCGCUGCGCAAACGAGGAAAGGCUCCUGCCUCCGUUUGAGAGACUGAACAUCCGCAUUUGCUCUGCGUGCAUUAAACAGGGGGUAUCCAUUUCUGCCUCGCUCACAGUUCACAAAGGCUUAGUUAAGCCUGACAAAACAGCCUCCGAGCCAGAGGAGUCAAACAGGAUGCCAGGUUGCGAGGAGGAACGGCUGCUUGGGACAAAGAGACGAGCAGUGACAAAAGCACAAAGGCAUGUGAUGUGCAAAGCCAUCAGCGCCCAGAACUGAUUGUGCGAAUAACCGAAACACAAGUGCGUGUUUGCCUGUGUGUGCAAUUAAGAGCAGAUGUCUUAUUAACAAGGUUUAAUAGAAUAUCGGGGCGUUGCUCAGUUCUUGUUUUGUCGUUAUGCCUUGAAAUGCUGAAUAGGAUUUUUCUCAGGUAAGACAGAAGUGCUAGCUUUAAAUCCACAAGUAAAUGAGUGUUACACCGUUGUCUGUGUUUAGCCGUCAAAACAGGCCUGUAAUCUGAUUUUUGUGAUGAUUAACGAUCAGAUUUGAUGGUUUGAAAAACUAGUCGAUUCUGACCUCUGGCUGACUGACUGAUGCAUGAACUAGAGAUAUCCUAGUAAUUCCACAAUAAACAAUUUAAAAGAUGCGACGACCUCUAUAAAUGAACAUGUUUUCUGUUGCGGUUCUGUUGCAAAAGAACAGCAAAAAAAAUUGAAAGAAAUCAGAGAAAACCUCAUUUGUGCGUCUCUACUUUAACAACACUAACAGCUACCUGUGACGUCUCAUUUCUCUCAAAAGUAGAAGAACACAAGAGGGAACAAAAAAGAUCAUUUUUAACAGUAACAAGCAACAGAAGCAGGGUAGCAUGCAGAUAAUAUCUACAUGCACAUCAGGAGUAACACCAGUUAAAGUUUCGGAUCUUGAUCCUGGCCUGCAUGUUGAAAUGACCUUAGGAAAGAUACUAAACCCCAAUCUGCCUCUACGACAUUCAGAGGCACUGCACCACUUCCCACUGCCCAUUAUCAAAAAGGCCUGUAAGAAUAGGUCUGUGCAGGUGUAAUGCAGUCCGAUCUCUAAUCGAGGUGAUUUCACUGUACUUGUACAAAUACAAAACUCAGCUUUAUUUUUUUUUUAAGGACAUGACUACGUCCAGUGCUUCUUGUUAAAGAGUUGAACAUCCAUGCAGCCACAGCCUGUCCUGUUUGCAUGUGCUACCAUCAUGUGAUCGGUACAGAAAAAGGGCAGCUCCUCUCUGAGCAGAUGUCUCUGCUGAAUCCUCCAAGCAAACCACAAUGCCCCCAAGCCUAUAUUGACACAGCAAUGUGGGCGGAUAAUGUUACCUGUGCUCUAAAGCUGCGCUGCCUCGACAAAAAACAAAAAACAAAAAAAAAACACAACUGCAGACUGGGUGACUCAAGACUUUUGCAACCAGUGGAGGGAACAUUUCAAAACACGGUCAUGUGCUCAGAGUCGGCGUGAAUCGGAAGAUGUUGCGGUUUCAGCAGGUCGAACGAAGGCAGUUCCUUUAAAGCCUCACAUUUUCACAUUUUCUUGACGGGAUGUGUGCGCCGUGAAGGCAGGCACCUUUGAGAUCUCAUAAUUAUAGACUUUAGUCUCAGCUGUGCACAACAUAAACAAACCCAUCGGCAGGCUGAAGCCACGGCAACCAGAGGUUGGAUAAGGUGGGAUAAAAAUCAACAGGAUCGGAAGAAGAAGAAAAAAAAUUAACAUAAUAGUAAUAGACAUAAUAUAGUCCUUGAGAUGAGGCUUUAUGUCCAAACUUAACCAAACAACAGUCCUCUUGCAUUUCAUUUUAGAAAUAAAGAGUCGACAUUUUAA
Long non-coding RNA from Gambusia affinis (western mosquitofish), 3797 nucleotides. RefSeq lists it as uncharacterized. NCBI's taxonomy places the organism in Eukaryota, Metazoa, Chordata, Actinopteri, Cyprinodontiformes, Poeciliidae. The transcript has 3 exons. The record is from RefSeq and is a predicted model, not a curated record.